UAAUGGAAUGUGUGGAAAGCUUUCUCAUAUAAGCAAAAUAAAAAGCCCCACUGUGAUUUGCACUUGACUCAUAUAGGUACAGUUAUGCAACUUUAUUUAGCUUGUUAUGUUUAUUGCACUUUAUUAAAUAAUUUGUUAUUGAUAAUGUGGAAUUAGGCGAGUUGCAUUAUGAUUAAAUGCAAUAGCUUGUUCUUCCUCACAUAUUUAAUUGCUAAAACCAAGAAUGCUAAGGGGUUUGGAGAAUUGAUGAUCAGAGUUGGGGGUUUUAAUUGCAAAGAUCCAGGAUUGAUUAAUAUUUUAAAUAUUUCUGUGAUACUCUACACAGAAUAUCCACAAGAGGGAACUGUUUUACAUAAAGAGGAGUCAUUUCCUUGCUGCUAAAACACUGCUUUCUGGAACCAAAUCCUCCAGAAUUACAUUGAGUUGGCAUGAUUGUGUCCUGGACUAUGCUACAUGGUACGAACGGGAAAAACACAGAUAUUUCCUAGUAAGGAAACUUUCAAGUGCUAAGUCUGCAGCCUCUCUGUCAAAUCUGGACCCUCUCAAAGAGCAGCAAGAGAGGACGUAUGUCACAGCCACGGCUUCAGAGACUCAGUUCUUGUUAUCUGCCAGACCAGAAUAUGGAAGAAAUUCCACCAUGCAAAAGCCUUCCCUGGGAUACGCUGUGCAGCUGCUCUUCACUGUCCUCAUCUUUCAAGGUGCACAGGGUUUGUAGUUUCUAUUAGCUGAAAGAGUGCCUGUAAGUACCUGGCACUUCUGAAGAUCAGACAUCAAGUGCCUGUGUUACGAUGCUCCUGCCCUUGUUCCACUCCUGGUGUUUGCUGAUGGAUAAAAAGAUCCCUAUGUGUGUGUGCAGCUGUGAAAAGGGUGUUCCUCACAGAAGGCAGAGCAAAUGACCAUGGGGACCAGGUUCUGAGCCCAGGACCCAAGGCUGUGUGAUCCUUUGCAGACCAGGUGGCUCUCAGC
Molecule: long non-coding RNA, 966 nt
Organism: Passer domesticus (house sparrow)
Lineage: Eukaryota; Metazoa; Chordata; Aves; Passeriformes; Passeridae
Exons: 3
Source: RefSeq, a predicted model, not a curated record